CGUAGGGUGCAGGCGUUAAUCGGAAUUACUGGGCGUAAAGCGUGCGCAGGCGGUUUGCUAAGACAGGUGUGAAAUCCCCGGGCUUAACCUGGGAACUGCGCUUGUUACUGGCAAGCUGGAGUGUGGCAGAGGGGGGUGGAAUUCCACGUGUAGCAGUGAAAUGCGUAGAGAUGUGGAGGAACACCGAUGGCGAAGGCAGCCCCCUGGGCUAACACUGACGCUCAUGCACGAAAGCGUGGGGAGCAAACAGGAUUAGAUACCCUGGUAGUCCACGCCCUAAACUAUGUCAACUGGUUGUCGGGGAAGCAAUUCCUUGGUAACGAAGCUAACGCGUGAAGUUGACCGCCUGGGGAGUACGGCCGCAAGGUUA
This 370-nucleotide ribosomal RNA is filed under the name uncultured organism. RNAcentral's name for it is "bacterial SSU rRNA". It matches the Rfam family "Bacterial small subunit ribosomal RNA", at positions 526 to 896 of the family's 1533-position model. The record is from RNAcentral.